GCCGGAGUGGCGGAACGGCAGACGCGCCGGACUCAAAAUCCGGUUCCCGUUAAGGGAGUGUGGGUUCAAAUCCCACCUCCGGGC
Molecule: transfer RNA, 84 nt
Filed under: Kiritimatiellia bacterium
Lineage: Bacteria; Pseudomonadati; Kiritimatiellota; Kiritimatiellia
Description: Kiritimatiellae bacterium (marine metagenome) tRNA-Leu
Rfam family: tRNA
About the family: Transfer RNA (tRNA) molecules are approximately 80 nucleotides in length. Their secondary structure includes four short double-helical elements and three loops (D, anti-codon, and T loops).
Source: RNAcentral